RNAcentral lists this ribosomal RNA (747 nucleotides) under Broussonetia kaempferi. RNAcentral's name for it is "eukaryotic LSU rRNA". Lineage: Eukaryota; Viridiplantae; Streptophyta; Magnoliopsida; Rosales; Moraceae. The record is from RNAcentral.
AGGAAGGAGAAGUCGUAACAAGGUUUCCGUAGGUGAACCUGCGGAAGGAUCAUUGUCGAAACCUGCCCAGCAGAAGGACCCGCGAACAGGUUGAACAUUCGCCCGGGGGGACCGGGGGCGCGGACGCGUCCCGAAUCCCCCCGCGCCGGGUGCGCGGCGCUCGGGCCCGUGCCCUCGGCUUCCAAACGAACCCCGGCGCGGAUCGCGUCAAGGAAGAACAACGGAACGGGCCGUGCCGUUGGGGCCCCGGAAACGGUGUUUGCCCGGCGGUCGAUUCGUGAUCGGUUACACAAGUCAAAACGACUCUCGGCAACGGAUAUCUCGGCUCUCGCAUCGAUGAAGAACGUAGCGAAAUGCGAUACUUGGUGUGAAUUGCAGAAUCCCGCGAACCAUCGAGUCUUUGAACGCAAGUUGCGCCCGAAGCCAUCCGGCCGAGGGCACGUCUGCCUGGGCGUCACACGCGGUCGCCCCCUCCCCCGCCCAACCGAAACCCCAUGCCGCUCCUCGUGGGCGCGCGUGGAACCGAGCGGAUGGGGGGCGGACGAUGGCCUCCCGCGAGCGCCCUGCCUCGUGGUUGGCCCAAAUCGGAGUCCUCGGUCACGUCAUCGUGGCGACCGGUGGUUGUCGAUCGUUCGGUGCCCCGUCACGUGCGCUGUCCGGCYAUCGAGACUCCUGCGGACCCCAACGCGCCCGUCGCGGGCGCUCCCAACGCGACCCCAGGUCAGGCGGGGCCACCCGCUGAGUUUA